AUUGAACGCUGGCGGCAGGCCUAACACAUGCAAGUCGAGCGGAUGAAGGGAGCUUGCUCCUGGAUUCAGCGGCGGACGGGUGAGUAAUGCCUAGGAAUCUGCCUGGUAGUGGGGGAUAACGUCCGGAAACGGGCGCUAAUACCGCAUACGUCAUGAGGGAGAAAGUGGGGGAUCUUCGGACCUCACGCUAUCAGAUGAGCCUAGGUCGGAUUAGCUAGUUGGUGGGGUAAAGGCCUACCAAGGCGACGAUCCGUAACUGGUCUGAGAGGAUGAUCAGUCACACUGGAACUGAGACACGGUCCAGACUCCUACGGGAGGCAGCAGUGGGGAAUAUUGGACAAUGGGCGAAAGCCUGAUCCAGCCAUGCCGCGUGUGUGAAGAAGGUCUUCGGAUUGUAAAGCACUUUAAGUUGGGAGGAAGGGCAGUAAGUUAAUACCUUGCUGUUUUGACGUUACCAACAGAAUAAGCACCGGCUAACUUCGUG
RNAcentral lists this ribosomal RNA (484 nucleotides) under uncultured bacterium. RNAcentral describes it as "partial 16S ribosomal RNA". It matches the Rfam family "Bacterial small subunit ribosomal RNA", at positions 30 to 507 of the family's 1533-position model. The record is from RNAcentral.